GUAGGUGGCAAGCGUUGUCCGGAAUUGUUGGGCGUAAAGCGCGCGCAGGCGGUCCUUUAAGUCUGAUGUGAAAGCCCACGGCUCAACCGUGGAGGGUCAUUGGAAACUGGGGGACUUGAGUACAGAAGAGGAAAGCGGAAUUCCAAGUGUAGCGGUGAAAUGCGUAGAGAUUUGGAGGAACACCAGUGGCGAAGGCGGCUUUCUGGUCUGUAACUGACGCUGAGGCGCGAAAGCGUGGGGAGCAAACAGGAUUAGAUACCCUGGUAGUCCACGCCGUAAACGAUGAGUGCUAAGUGUUAGGGGGUUUCCCGCCCCCUUAGUGCUGCAGCUAACGCGUUAAGCACUCCGCCUGGGGGAGUACGGCCGCAAGGCUG
RNAcentral lists this ribosomal RNA (374 nucleotides) under uncultured organism. RNAcentral describes it as "partial 16S ribosomal RNA". It matches the Rfam family "Bacterial small subunit ribosomal RNA", at positions 527 to 896 of the family's 1533-position model. The record is from RNAcentral.